AGAAUCAACGCUGGCGGCGUGCCUAACACAUGCAAGUCGAACGAGAAAGUGGGAGCAAUCCCACGAGUAAAGUGGCGCACGGGUGAGUAACACGUGACUAACCUACCCUUGAGUGGGGGAUAACCUAGGGAAACCUGGGCUAAUACCGCAUAAUACCUACGGGUCAAAGGAGCAAUUCGCUUAAGGAGGGGGUCGCGGCAGAUUAGUUAGUUGGCGGGGUAAUGGCCCACCAAGACAGUGAUCUGUAUCCGGCCUGAGAGGGCGCACGGACACACUGGAACUGAAACACGGUCCAGACUCCUACGGGAGGCAGCAGUGGGGAAUUUUGCGCAAUGGGGGAAACCCUGACGCAGCAACGCCGCGUGGAGGAUGAAGCCCCUUGGGGCGUAAACUCCUUUCGAUCGGGAAGAUAAUGACGGUACCGGAAGAAGAAGCCCCGGCUAACUUCGUGCCAGCAGCCGC
Molecule: ribosomal RNA, 462 nt
Filed under: uncultured bacterium
Lineage: Bacteria
Description: SSU rRNA
Rfam family: Bacterial small subunit ribosomal RNA
Source: RNAcentral